Molecule: long non-coding RNA, 121 nt
Organism: Thalassophryne amazonica
Lineage: Eukaryota; Metazoa; Chordata; Actinopteri; Batrachoidiformes; Batrachoididae
Exons: 3
Source: RefSeq, a predicted model, not a curated record
GAACUGGCGAGUGUCCAAGUGCUGAAUUUCAUUUCAUAUCUCUGUUACUAGGCACGUCCAGACUGUUCUGUCCGGUAUAUGCAAAGGGUUUUUAAUGAAAAUGUAUUGCGAUUGGAUGGAA